AAGAGUUAAAAGUCUCUUUUAGUAUUUGUCCAGCAGGUUUCCUUUAAAAGGAAACCCAC
This is a small nuclear RNA of Sinocyclocheilus grahami, 59 nucleotides long. Its record names the gene U7. It matches the Rfam family "U7 small nuclear RNA". Rfam says of the family: Animal histone pre-mRNAs are spliced by a different mechanism than nuclear pre-mRNAs and self-splicing introns. This processing involves the U7 snRNP, which contains only one RNA species: U7. The 5' end of U7 RNA is thought to base-pair to a conserved spacer element downstream of the cleavage site in histone pre-mRNA. NCBI's taxonomy places the organism in Eukaryota, Metazoa, Chordata, Actinopteri, Cypriniformes, Cyprinidae. The record is from Ensembl.